UACGUAGGGUCCGAGCGUUGUCCGGAGUUACUGGGCGUAAAGCGCGCGCAGGCGGCGGUGCUGGCCCGGCGUGAAAGCCCCCGGCUCAACCGGGGAGGGUCGUCGGGGACCGCACCGCUUGAGGGCGGUAGGGGCUGGUGGAAUGCCUGGUGUAGUGGUGAAAUGCGUAGAGAUCAGGCGGAACACCCGUGGCGAAGGCGGCCAGCUGGGCCGUCCCUGACGCUGAGGCGCGAAGGCGUGGGGAGCGAACG
This 251-nucleotide ribosomal RNA is filed under the name uncultured prokaryote. RNAcentral describes it as "partial 16S ribosomal RNA". It matches the Rfam family "Bacterial small subunit ribosomal RNA", at positions 524 to 774 of the family's 1533-position model. The record is from RNAcentral.